UACAAACUUUAGGGGUGUCCCUGCAUGGGGCUGAGAUAAUACCCUUCGAACCUGAAGCGGGUAGUACCGACGGAGGAAAAAGUUACCUUUUCUUG
RNAcentral lists this non-coding RNA (95 nucleotides) under Echinicola vietnamensis. RNAcentral describes it as "TPP sequence". It matches the Rfam family "TPP riboswitch aptamer (THI element)". Rfam says of the family: Vitamin B(1) in its active form thiamin pyrophosphate (TPP) is an essential coenzyme that is synthesised by coupling of pyrimidine and thiazole moieties in bacteria. The previously detected thiamin-regulatory element, thi box was extended, resulting in a new, highly conserved RNA secondary structure, the THI element, which is widely distributed in eubacteria and also occurs in some archaea. Lineage: Bacteria; Pseudomonadati; Bacteroidota; Cytophagia; Cytophagales; Cyclobacteriaceae. RNAcentral also lists the same sequence under 1 other name. The record is from RNAcentral.